UUAAAUUGAAGAGUUUGAUCAUGGCUCAGAUUGAACGCUGGCGGCAGGCCUAACACAUGCAAGUCGAACGGUAACAGGAAGCAGCUUGCUGCUUCGCUGACGAGUGGCGGACGGGUGAGUAAUGUCUGGGAAACUGCCUGAUGGAGGGGGAUAACUACUGGAAACGGUGGCUAAUACCGCAUAACGUCGCAAGACCAAAGAGGGGGACCUUCGGGCCUCUUGCCAUCAGAUGUGCCCAGAUGGGAUUAGCUAGUUGGUGAGGUAACGGCUCACCAAGGCGACGAUCCCUAGCUGGUCUGAGAGGAUGACCAGCCACACUGGAACUGAGACACGGUCCAGACUCCUACGGGAGGCAGCAGUGGGGAAUAUUGCACAAUGGGCGCAAGCCUGAUGCAGCCAUGCCGCGUGUAUGAAGAAGGCCUUCGGGUUGUAAAGUACUUUCAGCGGGGAGGAAGGUGUUGUGGUUAAUAACCGCAGCAAUUGACGUUACCCGCAGAAGAAGCACCGGCUAACUCCGUGCCAGCAGCCGCGGUAAUACGGAGGGUGCAAGCGUUAAUCGGAAUUACUGGGCGUAAAGCGCACGCAGGCGGUCUGUCAAGUCGGAUGUGAAAUCCCCGGGCUCAACCUGGGAACUGCAUUCGAAACUGGCAGGCUUGAGUCUUGUAGAGGGGGGUAGAAUUCCAGGUGUAGCGGUGAAAUGCGUAGAGAUCUGGAGGAAUACCGGUGGCGAAGGCGGCCCCCUGGACAAAGACUGACGCUCAGGUGCGAAAGCGUGGGGAGCAAACAGGAUUAGAUACCCUGGUAGUCCACGCCGUAAACGAUGUCUACUUGGAGGUUGUGCCCUUGAGGCGUGGCUUCCGGAGCUAACGCGUUAAGUAGACCGCCUGGGGAGUACGGCCGCAAGGUUAAAACUCAAAUGAAUUGACGGGGGCCCGCACAAGCGGUGGAGCAUGUGGUUUAAUUCGAUGCAACGCGAAGAACCUUACCUGGUCUUGACAUCCACAGAACUUUCCAGAGAUGGAUUGGUGCCUUCGGGAACUGUGAGACAGGUGCUGCAUGGCUGUCGUCAGCUCGUGUUGUGAAAUGUUGGGUUAAGUCCCGCAACGAGCGCAACCCUUAUCCUUUGUUGCCAGCGUUAGGCGGGAACUCAAAGGAGACUGCCAGUGAUAAACUGGAGGAAGGUGGGGAUGACGUCAAGUCAUCAUGGCCCUUACGACCAGGGCUACACACGUGCUACAAUGGCGCAUACAAAGAGAAGCGACCUCGCGAGAGCAAGCGGACCUCAUAAAGUGCGUCGUAGUCCGGAUUGGAGUCUGCAACUCGACUCCAUGAAGUCGGAAUCGCUAGUAAUCGUGGAUCAGAAUGCCACGGUGAAUACGUUCCCGGGCCUUGUACACACCGCCCGUCACACCAUGGGAGUGGGUUGCAAAAGAAGUAGGUAGCUUAACCUUCGGGAGGGCGCUUACCACUUUGUGAUUCAUGACUGGGGUGAAGUCGUAACAAGGUAACCGUAGGGGAACCUGCGGUUGGAUCACCUCCUUACCUAAAGAA
This 1551-nucleotide ribosomal RNA is filed under the name Salmonella enterica subsp. enterica serovar Newport. Its description in RNAcentral is "bacterial SSU rRNA". It matches the Rfam family "Bacterial small subunit ribosomal RNA". Lineage: Bacteria; Pseudomonadati; Pseudomonadota; Gammaproteobacteria; Enterobacterales; Enterobacteriaceae. The record is from RNAcentral.